GACGAACGCUGGCGGCGGGCUUAACACAUGCAAGUCGAACGAAGUGGCGGACGGGUGAGUAACGCGUAAUCAACCUGCCCUUCAGAGGGGGACAACAGUUGGAAAAGACUGCUAAUACCGCAUACUGAAUGAGGGGAUUGCGUCUGAUUAGCUAGUUGGUGGGGUAACGGCCCACCAAGGCGAUGAUCAGUAGCCGGUCGGAGAGGAUGAACGUCCACAUGGGGACUGAGACACGGUCCAGACUCCUACGGGAGGCAGCAGUGGGGAAUAUUGGACAAUGGGCGAAAGCCUGAUCCAGCCAGGCCGCGUGUGUGAAGAAGGUCUUCGGAUUGUAAAGCACUUUAAGUUGGGAGGCGUUACCAACAGAAUAAGCACCGGCUAACUUCGUGCCAGCAGCCGCGGUAAUAC
RNAcentral lists this ribosomal RNA (408 nucleotides) under uncultured bacterium. Its description in RNAcentral is "partial 16S ribosomal RNA". It matches the Rfam family "Bacterial small subunit ribosomal RNA", at positions 28 to 526 of the family's 1533-position model. The record is from RNAcentral.